CGUCAUGAUUUGGGCAUUGCAUUAACUUAUCAUUAAAGUAUGUUGACAUACUUCAUACAAGGUUUCGCUAUUGAGUUGGUGAAAGUUGGUGAUUUCAUGUCUUAGGUG
This is a non-coding RNA of Capsicum annuum, 108 nucleotides long. Lineage: Eukaryota; Viridiplantae; Streptophyta; Magnoliopsida; Solanales; Solanaceae. The record is from Rfam.